GAUGAACGCUGGCGGCGUGCCUAAUACAUGCAAGUCGAGCGAACAGACGAGGAGCUUGCUCCUCUGACGUUAGCGGCGGACGGGUGAGUAACACGUGGAUAACCUACCUAUAAGACUGGGAUAACUUCGGGAAACCGGAGCUAAUACCGGAUAAUAUAUUGAACCGCAUGGUUCAAUAGUGAAAGACGGUUUUGCUGUCACUUAUAGAUGGAUCCGCGCCGCAUUAGCUAGUUGGUAAGGUAACGGCUUACCAAGGCAACGAUUCGUAGCCGACCUGAGAGGGUGAUCGGCCACACUGGAACUGAGACACGGUCCAGACUCCUACGGGAGGCAGCAGUAGGGAAUCUUCCGCAAUAGGCGAAAGCUUGACGGAGCAACGCCGCGUGAGUGAUGAAGGUCUUCGGAUCGUAAAACUCUGUUAUUAGGGAAGAACAAAUGUGUAAGUAACUAUGCACGUCUUGACGGUACCUAAUCAGAAAGCCACGGCUAACUACGUG
RNAcentral lists this ribosomal RNA (497 nucleotides) under uncultured bacterium. RNAcentral describes it as "partial 16S ribosomal RNA". It matches the Rfam family "Bacterial small subunit ribosomal RNA", at positions 28 to 507 of the family's 1533-position model. The record is from RNAcentral.